UACGAAGGGGGCUAGCGUUGCUCGGAAUUACUGGGCGUAAAGGGUGCGUAGGCGGGUCUUUAAGUCAGGGGUGAAAUCCUGGAGCUCAACUCCAGAACUGCCUUUGAUACUGAAGAUCUUGAGUUCGGGAGAGGUGAGUGGAACUGCGAGUGUAGAGGUGAAAUUCGUAGAUAUUCGCAAGAACACCAGUGGCGAAGGCGGCUCACUGGCCCGAUACUGACGCUGAGGCACGAAAGCUAGGGGAGCAAACAGG
RNAcentral lists this ribosomal RNA (253 nucleotides) under uncultured bacterium. RNAcentral describes it as "partial 16S ribosomal RNA". It matches the Rfam family "Bacterial small subunit ribosomal RNA", at positions 524 to 776 of the family's 1533-position model. The record is from RNAcentral.